This 441-nucleotide long non-coding RNA is filed under the name Cyanistes caeruleus (blue tit). RNAcentral describes it as "lncRNA (ENSCCEG00000011352.1)". The record is from RNAcentral. Lineage: Eukaryota; Metazoa; Chordata; Aves; Passeriformes; Paridae.
GAGAGCAACCACAACAAAUGCCCUGAAGGAGCCCACCAGCUUCAGGAAGGCAGCAUGAGGAUCAACAGAGCAACAUCCCAGGCUCCAGAUCUCUAGGGAAUCCAUUGCCUGGGCUGUCAUCAACCAAAGUGGAAAUGCCUGUUCAGAGAGCCUGUCCCUGCUUUGGCAAUGCUCUUCAGGUGUGUUAAAGGCUUUUGGACCUUGUUGUUUGGUUUCAGCACUGAUUCUUCAUCAGGUUUUCAAUAGAAGAGAAGGUGCAACCAGCCCAUUACUUGGUGGGAAAGGAGGUAACUGUUAAGCUAAUGGGAAGCAUCGGGCAUUCCUGACAUCUGGCAAAUCUUCAGCAAGAGGAAGACAGAAGAAGAGUGCAGAAAAAGACAGUGAGAGGACAUUACUUCCGAUGUUAGCUGGAGGAUAAGGUAUGCCAUUGAAACAUAGCAA